CUUGAAAUACCACCCUUUAAUGUUUGAUGUUCUAACGUGGGCCCCUUACCGGGGUUGCGGACAGUGUCUGGUGGGUAGUUUGACUGGGGCGGUCUCCUCCUAAAGAGUAACGGAGGAGCACGAAGGUUGGCUAAUCCUGGUCGGACAUCAGGAGGUUAGUGCAAUGGCAUAAGCCAGCUUGACUGCGAGCGUGACGGCGCGAGCAGGUGCGAAAGCAGGUCAUAGUGAUCCGGUGGUUCUGAAUGGAAGGGCCAUCGCUCAACGGAUAAAAGGUACUCCGGGGAUAACAGGCUGAUACCGCCCAAGAGUUCAUAUCGACGGCGGUGUUUGGCACCUCGAUGUCGGCUCAUCACAUCCUGGGGCUGAAGUAGGUCCCAAGGGUAUGGCUGUUCGCCAUUUAAAGUGGUACGCGAGCUGGGUUUAGAACGUCGUGAGACAGUUCGGUCCCUAUCUGCCGUGGGCGCUGGAGAACUGAGGGGGGCUGCUCCUAGUACGAGAGGACCGGAGUGGACGCAUCACUGGUGUUCGGGUUGUCAUGCCAAUGGCACUGCCCGGUAGCUAAAUGCGGAAGAGAUAAGUGCUGAAAGCAUCUAAGCACGAAACUUGCCCCGAGAUGAGUUCUCCCUGACUCCUUGAGAGUCCUGAAGGAACGUUGAAGACGACGACGUUGAUAGGCCGGGUGUGUAAGCGCAGCGAUGCGUUGAGCUAACCGGUACUAAUGAACCGUGAGGCUUAACCUU
Molecule: ribosomal RNA, 740 nt
Filed under: Escherichia coli
Lineage: Bacteria; Pseudomonadati; Pseudomonadota; Gammaproteobacteria; Enterobacterales; Enterobacteriaceae
Description: partial 23S ribosomal RNA
Rfam family: Bacterial large subunit ribosomal RNA
Source: RNAcentral